Long non-coding RNA from Engraulis encrasicolus (European anchovy), 377 nucleotides. RefSeq lists it as uncharacterized. The transcript has 3 exons. The record is from RefSeq and is a predicted model, not a curated record. NCBI's taxonomy places the organism in Eukaryota, Metazoa, Chordata, Actinopteri, Clupeiformes, Engraulidae.
AAGAUGAAUAUUCUAUGGAGAAACAUGGGGAAUCCUCUACAUCUGGAGUGCCUAGUGUUGGAAUAGUGGUGUUCUUACUGGGAGCUGCAAUGGUGAUGUACAUCGCCAAACAAAAAAGAGUGGCAUGGACCAUGAGACAAAGGAUACGAGAAGUGUGUAUGAGAUGAUAUUUCUUGGAUGAGAAAUCAACAAUGGUCUUACAUGACAAAUUUCAUGGUGUGGAGGCCAAAGCAGCAACAUCCUGCAUGGCUGGGCUACAUUUCCCAGAAAGUCAUGUUUCACACACUUCCAGUGUUCUUUCAAUCCUCAAUACCAAACCAGUUAAAAUACUGUAGGUGAAAAAACAACAACAACAAAGUGACUGUGUUUCAUUGUGA